Molecule: long non-coding RNA, 1137 nt
Organism: Sebastes umbrosus (honeycomb rockfish)
Lineage: Eukaryota; Metazoa; Chordata; Actinopteri; Perciformes; Sebastidae
Exons: 4
Source: RefSeq, a predicted model, not a curated record
GAACAGCUUAUAGCUGACAGCUGAAAGUGAAAGAUGAAGUGAACCACAACAGAUAAGGAGAGAGGAGGAGCCAGGAGGACAUGUAAACAAGAAGACUGCAGCUUCCACUGCUGGUUGUUGCUCAGCAGUCUCGUCGUUUGGUCCUGUAGGAGGCUACAACAGAAGAGACACAAGGGAGAAGAUGAUCUACUACAGCAUCCUGCUGCUCCUCAGCCUGCCCCCCUGUGUCCGUGAAUCAUUUGUAUUGAAUGUGACACAGACCUCCUAUCAGGCAGAGGAGAACCACAACAUCACACUGGAGUGGAUGUUCCCAACCAGAACCGACAGUUCCCUCAACUCACUAUUUAUCUACUGUGAACUGUCCUGCUGUCCUGUUUCAUCUCCAUGGAGGUGUUGAGGUCCCAGAGUCUCAGGAUCAACAGUUUACAGGACGAGUCUGGUGUGACAAAGACGUCCUCAGAGACGGACGAAUCAGACUUCACAUGUCCAGACUCAGGAUCAAUGACUCGGGUGUGUACCGGUGUGACGUGCAGACAGGUGUUGGUUCGGGCUCUAGGAUAUGUAGCCUCAAAGUCACAGCAGCUGCUGAUGAACCCGAACCUCAGAGACCAACAGCGAGACCACAACCAGAGAGACCAACAGUGAGAAGGAGAAGGAACAUCUACUUUGGACUGAGACUGACAGCAGGUCUACUGGUUGUAUGUGCUGGACUCUGGUUUGCUGCCUUUGUCUUUCGUCGACUAAAUCUACUGAUAAUAGAGGAUAGAUCCAUACAGUCGUACAGAAGAUGAGUUUCUUAGAGGAACAACCCAUCACAACUCCAGUGCUGAGACAAGGUCGUGUCUAGAAGGUAACUCCCGAGCUGCGAAAACGUGCCAAAACUCUUGUGAGACUCGCUGCCCGACGACCUUCAACCAUUCAAGGUCAACGCUUAACCGUAACUAUUAGAGGUCAACGCUUAACCUUAGCUAUUAGAGGAUUACUGGACAACGCGAGCCAUCCUCUGCACGCCGUCAUCACCAAACAGAGGAGCUGGUUUAGCGGCAGGCUGCUGCUCCCCAAGUGCUCAACAGACAGACUCAGGAAAUCUUUUGUCCCCCGAGCCAUCAAACUGUACAACACCUCUCUAGGGAGGGG